This is a long non-coding RNA of Salvia miltiorrhiza (redroot sage), 496 nucleotides long. RefSeq lists it as uncharacterized. The record is from RefSeq and is a predicted model, not a curated record. Lineage: Eukaryota; Viridiplantae; Streptophyta; Magnoliopsida; Lamiales; Lamiaceae. The transcript has 3 exons.
CUAUUUAUUAAAGUCAUAAAUUUUAUUUAAAUUUGAUAGUAUAUUAUGUCCAUAAAUUUUUAUGUGUUUAUUUCACAUCCACUUGUUAAACCCACAUGUUAUUUAAUUGACCUUAUCUCAUCUCCUCCCACUUACAUUAUUUUAUUAGUUUAAGCUAAAUACCCCUUUAUCUUACUCAUUAAGCCAACUCUUAUCCAAAGGAUAGCUUAUACAUUAAGACUCACUCUCUAAUCUCUAAAUUAUCAUUCUCUCUUAAUUCCUAUCUAAAUUCUCGAUUGCUUCCAAUUACCAAAUUAGUUCCAAAUUUUGAUUGUCAAGACUCGGCUGAUUCCAGCUUUCCAAAUCAGUUUCCAAGAUUUCCCAAAACAAGAAAGAGAUCCAAUUUUGGUGAAUUCAGAAAGAAGAUUUUCCUCAUUUCCUACUCAUAUCAAGGUCCGAGCGACAGAAAGUGAAGCCGAAGAAGAAACGACUCCACGCCAGCUUUAAGAACUGUUUA